Molecule: ribosomal RNA, 491 nt
Filed under: uncultured bacterium
Lineage: Bacteria
Description: partial 16S ribosomal RNA
Rfam family: Bacterial small subunit ribosomal RNA
Source: RNAcentral
GGAUGAACGCUAGCUACAGGCUUAACACAUGCAAGUCGAGGGGCAGCAUGGUCUUAGCUUGCUAAGGCCGAUGGCGACCGGCGCACGGGUGAGUAACACGUAUCCAACCUGCCGUCUACUCUUGGACAGCCUUCUGAAAGGAAGAUUAAUACAAGAUGGCAUCAUGAGUCCGCAUGUUCACAUGAUUAAAGGUAUUCCGGUAGACGAUGGGGAUGCGUUCCAUUAGAUAGUAGGCGGGGUAACGGCCCACCUAGUCUUCGAUGGAUAGGGGUUCUGAGAGGAAGGUCCCCCACAUUGGAACUGAGACACGGUCCAAACUCCUACGGGAGGCAGCAGUGAGGAAUAUUGGUCAAUGAGCGCAGGCCUGAACCAGCCAAGUAGCGUGAAGGAUGACUGCCCUAUGGGUUGUAAACUUCUUUUAUAAAGGAAUAAAGUCGGGUAUGGAUACCCGUUUGCAUGUACUUUAUGAAUAAGGAUCGGCUAACUCCGUG